RNAcentral lists this ribosomal RNA (692 nucleotides) under bacterium xpnta638lb76on9.24. RNAcentral's name for it is "bacterial SSU rRNA". It matches the Rfam family "Bacterial small subunit ribosomal RNA", at positions 53 to 718 of the family's 1533-position model. The record is from RNAcentral.
ACAUGCAGUCGAGCGCAGGAAUCGACGGAACCCUUCGGGGGGAAGUCGACGGAAUGAGCGGCGGACGGGUGAGUAACACGUAAAGAACCUGCCCUCAGGUCUGGGAUAACCACGAGAAAUCGGGGCUAAUACCGGAUGGGUCAUCGGACCGCAUGGUCCGAGGAUGAAAGGCGCUUCGGCGUCGCCUGGGGAUGGCUUUGCGGUGCAUUAGCUAGUUGGUGGGGUAAUGGCCCACCAAGGCGACGAUGCAUAGCCGACCUGAGAGGGUGAUCGGCCACACUGGGACUGAGACACGGCCCAGACUCCUACGGGAGGCAGCAGUAGGGAAUCUUCCACAAUGGACGAAAGUCUGAUGGAGCAACGCCGCGUGAACGAUGAAGGCCUUCGGGUCGUAAAGUUCUGUUGUAAGGGAAGAACAAGUGCCGCAGGCAAUGGCGGCACCUUGACGGUACCUUGCGAGAAAGCCACGGCUAACUACGUGCCAGCAGCCGCGGUAAUACGUAGGUGGCAAGCGUUGUCCGGAAUUAUUGGGCGUAAAGCGCGCGCAGGCGGCCUCUUAAGUCUGAUGUGAAAGCCCCCGGCUCAACCGGGGAGGGCCAUUGGAAACUGGGAGGCUUGAGUAUAGGAGAGAAGAGUGGAAUUCCACGUGUAGCGGUGAAAUGCGUAGAGAUGUGGAGGAACACCAGUGGCGA